Molecule: unclassified non-coding RNA, 291 nt
Filed under: uncultured Dothideomycetes
Lineage: Eukaryota; Fungi; Ascomycota; Dothideomycetes
Description: sequence contains ITS1
Rfam family: 5.8S ribosomal RNA (bases 1-105)
Source: RNAcentral
GAAAUGCGAUAAGUAGUGUGAAUUGCAGAAUUCAGUGAAUCAUCGAAUCUUUGAACGCACAUUGCGCCCUUUGGUAGCCCAAAGGGCAUAUCUGUUCGAGUGUCAUUUACCUUCUCAAGCUCUGCUUGGUGUUGGGUGCUUGCCUUUCUAGGCUCACCUUGAAAUGAUUAGUGCUUGUGUAGUCUUACAAGUAGCGGAGUAGAAUCUGCUUCCUUGGGGGCGUCACGGCACUGUAAACCACUUUUUCUUAUUUUUGACCUCGGAUCAGAUAGGGAUACCCGCUGAACUUAA